GUUAUAUGUUUGUCUUGUUAGCAGGACAAGACCAAAAGUCCUAGGUACAUAAAGAAGGUGUGUGGAAGUGAUUUAUGAAGGAAAUAUAUAUGUUUACUUGUUGGUUUCAAGUUUGUUAUAAAAGGUUUACGGGAAUAGAGGUUUCAUUCCUUCUGAUUUUAAUUCUACAAGACAUCUCUGUUAAUUGACUUACAAAAAGUUUUAAAUAGUCUUAUUUAUAAUUAUAAACCUAAAAUUAUAAAGAGAUUAUAAUUCCUUUGGGCUAAAUAUAUUUGAGUGCACCCUAGUUUUAGAAAUUGUCUUAUAUCUUUGUUUUUUGUCCAAUCGUACAGCUGUUUUGUUUAUAGAUAAAGGUUAUUAAGUUCAAGGCAUGCUCCCCUUGGUGAACAAAGGAGCAGCCGCAUGGAAAUAUUUUCCAGUCUUUGUUCACUAGGGGGACCUCAACAGUUUUCAUCUUACAACAGACUGACCCGAUAGUUUUCAUAGCCUUAUAAAAGACUUACAGGAAUAAAUAUUAUUUAAAUAUAUUAUUAUACUGUUUAUAUCAAUUGUCAUCAAAGGGAUAAAUUCUAAAUAUGUUAUUAUGGUGUGCUUACACUGGUCAUUUUCAAAGGACUAAAUAUCCUGUAAAAAACAACAAUAACAAGGUUUUAUUUUUUCUAGUGUACUAAAUGUAUUUGUACUUUCUGACUGUACAGGUUUUCUAAUAUUUGUUUAUGAUAAUAAGCUCUUUUUGGUUCAGGUAUUUGCCUUUCCAUACACUCUAGCUAUUUAUGAUAACAGAUACAUAUAUGGGCUAUUUUCUUUAGAUGGUAUCCUAUCAAAAGAUUAUUUAUUUAUUUGUUUUUUAAAGAUAAUAAUUUAGGUAAAAACUUUUGGUGUUUUUAAAAAAUGAGUACGUUUAACAAUGGCUAUUUUAUAUCAAGAUGGACAUUUAAAUGUGUUACAAAGGUAAAGUCAUCAUAAUUGUCAUGUUAAAAUAUUAUUUGUGGCUCUUUUUCUGUUAAUAUUCUACAGGAAUUCAACAACUAAAAAACAACCAUGACUGAUAACAGUAAGAGCUCUCUAUAUUUUAAAUUCCAAAAUGCUUGCUAUUCCGGUAAAACUAUAAUAGUUAAGUUCAUUAUUCUUGUUACGAUGCUAACGCUAUUGACCUUCUCUUCUGGAUGUUCAACAACUAAAGUUUGGAGACCAGAACUAAAAGGUAACUGGGCUAUGAGGACAGCCAAUAUUUUGGCCCUGGCCCCUCAAGGUCAACAAAGUUCCAGGACAUGAGGGAACCUUCUCUACAGGGUCCUACAUCUUUGGAGGCUUCCAAAAACUGAGAGAUACAGGAAUCAAACUGUCCUGGCCUUGAAUUUAAAGGAGAAGUCAGGUUCAUAGUAACACUACACUCAUCGGAACGAUUGAGGGCAUUCACCAGCCAGACAGUCACAGAGUUCAUCAUGGCAGGGUACCAGCCAGUACGGCAAAAGGAAGAGGUCCCCACUUGCCACCGGCCUCAUGAGAUCCAGGUCUAGCCCCGAUCUUCGCCCCUGGUCAGCAGGAAGCAGCUCCAGAAGAAGAGACCUUCGCCCAACUAUCAUACAACAAAAGCCUGGAAUGAUAGGUCUCCCACCACCUCAGCAGCUAUUAUGUACAGUAGCUGCCCUCUUCCUAUGGUGCCUCACCCCCUACCCUGUGUGAUGUCAUGCCAAGAUGGUUGCUCCCACCAAAGAAUAAACCCUUCUUCCCAGCAUGCCCCUGUUCCCACCUAGAAAGUAACCUAAUACUCACCUCCUACAACCUAGUGACAUCACUGGCUCCUCCAUUCCCUAGUCACUACCUCACUCAACCCCACCUCAGCCCCUACAAACCCCACCCCAGUCUCUAUAAAAGACUCUCCCUGCCCCGGCCAUAUUGCUUUUGUCUCUCCUUUGUUCAGAGACAGCCCGGCAGAUCUAUUCCCCUAAUAAAGGCUUGCUGUGGCCUGGUCUGGUCUUGGUCUUUGGCCCUUUUACCUGACACCAUCUUAAUUGUAUAUAAAUCUAAAACUCGUAAUAUAUACAAGCUGUACUAUGAGUUGUUGUUUUUUUGGUUUUUCUUUCUUUUGGUACCGGGGAUUGAACUCAGGACCUUGUGCUGGUGAGGCAGGCAUGGUGCCACUGAGCUAAAUCCCCGGCCCUUCAAGCUCUGUUAUGUACACGUAGCCACUCCUCAAAUGAUUGUGAACUGCACAAUAAAAAUAAACAACAAUGUAAACUGCAGGCCUAAUUUCUAACACUGAAUCUCCCACCCUCAGCCAUGAUAGAACCCUAAAUGUAUUCCUAAACCUCAACCAAAUCCCAACAAAAACCACAACCCAAACUGCACCUUGCCCCUUCGUCCUAAGCCACUUCCUCACCCUAACUGUAGCGAAACUUUGAGGAUGCGACCUCACUUCCUUG
RNAcentral lists this long non-coding RNA (2426 nucleotides) under Heterocephalus glaber (naked mole-rat). RNAcentral's name for it is "lncRNA (ENSHGLG00100051623.1)". The record is from RNAcentral. Lineage: Eukaryota; Metazoa; Chordata; Mammalia; Rodentia; Bathyergidae.